UCCGGGAUCGUCUAAUGGUAGGACUGCAGAUUUUGGAUCUGCCUAUCUAGGUUCGAAUCCUAGUCCCGGAGCCC
This 74-nucleotide transfer RNA is filed under the name Candidatus Woesebacteria bacterium RBG_13_36_22. RNAcentral describes it as "tRNA-Gln". It matches the Rfam family "tRNA". Rfam says of the family: Transfer RNA (tRNA) molecules are approximately 80 nucleotides in length. Their secondary structure includes four short double-helical elements and three loops (D, anti-codon, and T loops). Further hydrogen bonds mediate the characteristic L-shaped molecular structure. tRNAs have two regions of fundamental functional importance: the anti-codon, which is responsible for specific mRNA codon recognition, and the 3' end, to which the tRNAs corresponding amino acid is attached (by aminoacyl-tRNA synthetases). tRNAs cope with the degeneracy of the genetic code in two manners: having more than one tRNA (with a specific anti-codon) for a particular amino acid; and 'wobble' base-pairing, i.e. permitting non-standard base-pairing at the 3rd anti-codon position. Lineage: Bacteria; Candidatus Woeseibacteriota. The record is from RNAcentral.